Molecule: RNA transcript, 4188 nt
Organism: Morone saxatilis (striped sea-bass)
Lineage: Eukaryota; Metazoa; Chordata; Actinopteri; Moronidae
Gene: ppp1r12a
Gene name: protein phosphatase 1, regulatory subunit 12A
Exons: 26
Source: RefSeq, a predicted model, not a curated record
CUCCCCAGCCCUCCCUUCCCACGCCCCAGUGCGCUGUGGGAUAGUGGCACUAUAAAGUAUAUCCUCUCUCGGAGAAAGAUAAGAAGCCCGAGACAGGAGGGGGAUGAAGAUGGCGGACGCCAAGCAAAAGAGGAAUGAGCAGUUAAAGCGAUGGCUGGGCUCGGAAACGGACCUGGAGCCUCCUAUUCUGAAAAAGAAGAAGACGAAGGUGAAGUUCGACGAUGGCGCCGUGUUUCUGGCCGCCUGCUCAAGCGGCGAUACCGAGGAGGUGCUGCGAAUGCUUGACCGGGGCGCUGACAUCAACUACGCCAAUGUAGACGGUCUCACCGCCCUCCACCAGGCAUGCAUAGAUGACAAUGUUGACAUGGUGACUUUCCUGGUGGAGCAUGGAGCCGGCAUCAACCAGCCCGACAACGAGGGCUGGAUCCCCCUCCACGCCGCAGCCUCCUGCGGAUACCUCGACAUAGCAGAGUAUCUCAUCAGCCAGGGUGCCAGUGUAGGAGUUGUGAACAGUGAAGGUGAGACGCCUCUGGACAUCGCUGAAGAGGAGGCAAUGGAGGAGCUCCUACAGAAUGAGAUCAACCGACAAGGGGUGGAUAUCGAGGCAGCCCGGAAAGAGGAGGAGCGGGUCAUGCUGAGGGACGCCCGGCAGUGGCUCAACAGCGGCCAAAUCCAAGACGUCCGGCAUGCCAAGUCCGGAGGAACGUCACUCCAUGUAGCUGCCGCGAAGGGAUAUGUUGAGGUUUUAAAGCUUUUAAUCCAGGCAGGGUAUGAUGUAAAUAUAAAGGACUAUGAUGGUUGGACUCCUCUACAUGCAGCAGCACACUGGGGCAAAGAGGAGGCAUGUAGGAUACUGGUGGAUAAUCUAUGUGACAUGGACCUCAUUAAUAAAAUGGGCCAGACAGCUUUUGAUGUAGCAGACGAAGAUGUUCUGGGAUACUUAGAAGAACUACAAAAGAAACAAAAUCUGCUGAUGAGUGACAAGAAAGAUGUUAAGAAAUCUCCUUUGAUUGAAACGACAACCACUGGGGACAACAACCAAUCACUAAAACCACUCAAGAGCAAAGAAACGCUGCUUCUAGAGCCAGAAAAGACUGUCCCACGCAUCGAGACCUUAGAACCAGAGAAGGUGGAUGAAGAAGAGGAGGGGAAGAAGGACGAAUCAAGCUGCUCCAGUGAGGAAGAGGAGGACGAGGAUUCAGAGUCGGAGACUGAAGCAGACAAGAGCAAACCCUCAGCAUCGGUGAGCAACAGCACGGCGCCCACCCCGUCCACCAUCACCGUGUCACCUCCAACAAGCCCAACUAACCAGGUGACAACCCCCACUUCACCGGUAAAGAAGGCCAUUCAGCCUGCUGGAAAGAUCUCGACUAAAGUGGAGGAGGAGAGGAAGGACGAGUCUCCAGCAUCGUGGCGGCUGGGUUUGAGGAAGACGGGCAGCUAUGGGGCACUAGCGGAGAUCACGGCCACCAAGGAGGCUCAGAGGGAGAAGGACACAACUGGUGUGAUGCGUUCAGCCUCGAGCCCUCGCCUCUCCUCUUCCCUGGACAACAAAGACAAAGAGAAGGAAAAGGAUAAAGGGACCCGGCUUGCCUAUGUGGCCCCCACCAUCCCCAGGAGACUGGCCAGUACUUCAGACAUUGACGAGAAGGAAAACAGGGACUCUACUGCUCUGAUACGUAGUGGCUCAUACACCCGGCGACGCUGGGACGACGACCUGAAGAACAGUGAAGGAAGCGCCUCCACCAACCGAACCCCCAGCUACCAGCGCAGCACGUCCCAUACGCUAGCACUAGGGCGGAGCGGCAGCACGCGGGACGUGCCAGCCAAGUCUUCGUCCACCUCCAGCUUGGACCCUAACACCUGUAAUACUAAACCCUGGCAGCCACCCACCUCCCACUACCAGUCUUACAGCAUAUACCGCAGCGGCUCUUUCAGCAGAAGGAACGAGGACUUGAGUUCCUCGACCACGUCCUCCUCCACGACCACCACCACCUCCUCAUCUGUUACCUCGCCCACAGGCCAUCGCGGCCUGCUCUCCAGCCUGGGCUCCUCCUCCACCCGCACUGGCUCCACCAGUCUCACCAGCAGGUACUGGUCAGAGGAGAGUGCAGAGAGGGAGAAGGAGAAGGAGAAGGAAUCUGCUGCGGUCAUCCCCACUAUAAACACUGGCUCUACUACGACCACCACAUCUACCACUACCACCACCGGCAUAUCUACCACUACCACCACCACUGGCACUGUCACUGGCUCUGAAAGACGCAGGUCAUACCUGACGCCAGUGCGAGACGAGGAGUCAGAGUCCCAAAGGAAAGCUCGCUCCAGGCAGGCUCGACAGUCAAGGAGGUCCACUCAGGGCGUGACUCUGACUGACCUGCAAGAAGCUGAGAAAACAAUCGGCAGGAGUCGUCCCACAAAGACCCGGGAGGAGGAGAAGGAGGAGAAGGAAAAGCAGGACAAGGAGAAGCAGGAAGAGAAGAAGGAGUUGGAGACCAAGGAAGACGAUUACCGAUCGAAGUACCGGAGCUUCGAAGAGCGCUACCGGCCUUCGUCUUCUUCCUCCACCUCCGCCAUUUUGACAGCCAGUACUGCCUCCACCCCGUCCUACUCUAGCACCAUUUUGUCCUCCAGUUCCAGCUCCCUCAACAGGCCUAACAGUCUGACGGGGAUCACCUCAUCCUAUAGCCGUUCCUCCAGAGAUACGGAAAAAGAAAUAGAUAGAAAGGAUGAGGAGAAGGAGGGAGAGGACAAAUCUCAGCCCCGCUCCAUACGGGAUCGCAGGCGGCCCCGCGAGAAGAGGCGCUCCACUGGGGUCUCCUUCUGGACUCAAGAUGGUGAUGAAAAUGACCCUGACCAGCAGUCUGACUCGGAGGAGGGCAGCAUCAAGGGAGAGCCACAGAGUGACAGGUUGUCCAGGAAUGAGAUCACUUCAUCCUCGGAUCGCAAUGACUCUUAUUCUAGCCGUGGCUACGGUGAGAGUCGGAGGCCAUACUCAAGCCGACUAGAUAGAGACGACACCACUGACUACAAGAAGCUCUACGAGCAGAUCUUAGCUGAGAACGAGAAGUUGAAGGCCCAGUUACGUGACACAGACCUGGAGCUGGCAGACUUGAAGCUACAACUAGAGAAGGCCACACAGAGGCAGGAACGCUAUGCCGACCGAUCACAGCUUGAGAUGGAGAAAAGGGUAACAAGCAGGCCCCAAUAUCAUCUGGGUGGUGGUAUGAUCUUAACCUGAGUUUUUGUAUCAGUCUACUCUCUGCUGCUGGCUGUCGUGUCACACAUGCCCUUGUAGCCGGGGUCAAAAGGGACUUCCUCCCUCUCCUCGCCACCCAGAACACUGCCACCUUCUCUCUCACCUGUUUUUGAACCUCAGAGCCAGCGUGUGGUCACCUCUUCUUAAGACUGCUUAUUUUGUUAUUUGUGUGUGUGUGUGUGUGUGUGUGUGUGUGUGAUGCAGGAAGUAGAACAAUUGUAGACUGUUCAAUUGCUAUUGAAAGAACCUGUGCAUGUGUGUGUUUUCAUGGUUUGUCUCACUCAUUCCGUAAUCAUGCUGGCGUCUUCAGCUGCGUAGCCAUGAAACCAAUAACUCCAUCGAUUUGCUAAAUUCAUCCAUUAUUUGUAAGCCACGUUUAAGACCCUCCUUCGUGUGCCGUUUGUCGUCCCAGCCUUUUUAUAAUCCAAGUGUCCUUUUUUGGUGUUGAAAAAAGACAUUCUGACCCCCCCCGUCCAUGAGUCAUUUCAUUAACUUACCAUCCAACACAACCUCUAUAAACAUCUACCUCCCCAUUUCUUGACUCAUUCCUGCCUUUUAAAUUACAUAUAAAUCACUGAAUAUGUAAGUCUGAACCGGCUGUUGCUUGCAGACGCCUCACAAGACAUGCGUGUGUUCAAAGUGUGUGUGUGCGUGUGUGCUAUCGCUACACCCUCACCGUCUUCCACACCUUAUUUUAUGCAGUGUGUUUUUAACACGUGUUUGCUGCUCAUUGUCUCGACGUCUCGUGUCCUGAGUUAACCCCGCUGUCCUCCGCCCCACAGGAAAGAAGAGCUCUAGAAAGGAAGAUUUCUGAGAUGGAGGAGGAACUUAAGAUGCUCCCAGACUUGAAAGCAGACAACCAGAGACUAAAGGACGAGAACGGAGCACUCAUUCGAGUCAUUAGCAAGCUUUCCAAGUAGAACAGACCCCCC